Molecule: ribosomal RNA, 490 nt
Filed under: uncultured bacterium
Lineage: Bacteria
Description: partial 16S ribosomal RNA
Rfam family: Bacterial small subunit ribosomal RNA
Source: RNAcentral
AUUGAACGCUGGCGGCAGGCCUAACACAUGCAAGUCGAACGGUAACAGGAAACAGCUUGCUGUUUCGCUGACGAGUGGCGGACGGGUGAGUAAUGUCUGGGAAACUGCCUGAUGGAGGGGGAUAACUACUGGAAACGGUAGCUAAUACCGCAUAACGUCGCAAGACCAAAGAGGGGGACCUUCGGGCCUCUUGCCAUCGGAUGUGCCCAGAUGGGAUUAGCUAGUAGGUGGGGUAACGGCUCACCUAGGCGACGAUCCCUAGCUGGUCUGAGAGGAUGACCAGCCACACUGGAACUGAGACACGAUCCAGACUCCUACGGGAGGCAGCAGUGGGGAAUAUUGCACAAUGGGCGCAAGCCUGAUGCAGCCAUGCCGCGUGUAUGAAGAAGGCCUUCGGGUUGUAAAGUACUUUCAGCGGGGAGGAAGGGAGUAAAGUUAAUACCUUUGCUCAUUGACGUUACCCGCAGAAGAAGCACCGGCUAACUCCGUG